ACACUGUAAACGUGCAGCGUGCUCUCAGCUGGGGAGGAUAAGAUGGCAGAGCAAUUGAUGUUUCAACAGUAUAGGGAAGAGAGGUUGGAAGGUGGAUAUCUUUUCUUUGCCUUAUUCUAUUUGAAUGCACAGAAAGUGGGAGGCACAGUAAUGCGCUUGAAAUCUCAGUGCAUGUCUGUGAGAAGUAUGUGGUAGUAGCCCUUUCUUUGCUGACAUCGAUUUCUUUGAAUUUAGUAGCAUCAGUGAAUUUGGAUUACAGCUCUGGAGUCAUAAGUCCUGAUGAUUUAAAGAGAAAACUGCAUAGAUUUAGCAGAGUUGCCUGUACAACACACUUGAAUUGCUCUAUUUCCAUCCCAGGGUCAGAAGGAUGUGGUGGAUGCCAUUUGCCAGCAGUAGUGAUGACUUCCUUGGGCUCAUAGGACUGCGCACAGAACGCACUUCUAUUUCAACAUCACUAAGGUAGGAGCCAAGAAUGGGCUGUUUUUUCUUAUUCUGUUUAUUCAACUGUCUUUUGUUUCUGAAGACCAA
Molecule: long non-coding RNA, 528 nt
Filed under: Numida meleagris (helmeted guineafowl)
Lineage: Eukaryota; Metazoa; Chordata; Aves; Galliformes; Numididae
Description: lncRNA (ENSNMEG00000019102.1)
Source: RNAcentral